This 910-nucleotide long non-coding RNA is filed under the name Astyanax mexicanus (Mexican tetra). Its description in RNAcentral is "lncRNA (ENSAMXG00005009247.1)". The record is from RNAcentral. Lineage: Eukaryota; Metazoa; Chordata; Actinopteri; Characiformes; Acestrorhamphidae.
UUUACGUUUUCUUUAUUUUUAAACCUAUUGGAGCCAAAAGUCUCCAAUAACACCACAAAAACUCGCUAGAUUUGUCGCUAGUCGCUUUUUACAAAAAAAGUCGCUAAAUAUAGCGACAAAGUCGCUAAGUUGGCAACACUGCAACUGGCUCUUCUUUAGCGCUGUUCGUUUUUAACUGCUUUUACGUUUUUAACUGGGUCCCUUUUUUUCAGACGGUCCCUUGCGAUCUUCAGCGCCCCCUGCUGCAGUGAUUCCGUCUAUUUUCAUUAAAUGUUUUGGGAGAAAGGGAAAGUCAGGACUUUUGGGCAGAUAUAAUGUGUAUAGUUUGUUUUCUUUUCCUCUGUAGUUUGGAAAAUGUAGUUUGGAAGAGUUUAUGACGUUGUUUGUGAGCAAGAGAAGGGAUAAAAAGCAUAAAUAAGUAGAAUUUAGAGUAAAAACCAGCUGAGCAGCUCGUCUUUCUGCCGGAGUGACGUAUUGUUUGCGCAGACAGACAGACAGACAGACAGCAGCAGUGUGUACACCUUGAUUCCUCAGCUCCGGAGCUCAGUUUGAGGAAGUUCUCUACAGCUGAAGGCUGUGUUUCUACUUUUCCCUGAUGCCACAGACCUCCAAACGAAUGGAGGGCAAGACGGGGGUGCCCUUACCUCAGCUCAGCAAUGAGAUGCAGCUGGAUAUUAUGCACAAGGUGAAGAACGGGGAGCUGAGUAUCGAUGAUGCUCUGGACUUGGCCAGGAGGGACCGUCAGCAGCUGCUGCAGAAAAGUUUCGAUACCGAGGAAAAGCAAGCCUUGCAGUACAACUUCAGCGUGCACAAAUUAGGCGGCUACAGAUGGCAAAAACGUGUAUUGCAGGUACCCAAAACACAAACAUCUGCACUCUUUUAUUCUAAUAUCUCUAUAUAUAGAGGAUCC